Transfer RNA from Fonsecaea multimorphosa CBS 102226, 117 nucleotides. It matches the Rfam family "tRNA". Rfam says of the family: Transfer RNA (tRNA) molecules are approximately 80 nucleotides in length. Their secondary structure includes four short double-helical elements and three loops (D, anti-codon, and T loops). Further hydrogen bonds mediate the characteristic L-shaped molecular structure. tRNAs have two regions of fundamental functional importance: the anti-codon, which is responsible for specific mRNA codon recognition, and the 3' end, to which the tRNAs corresponding amino acid is attached (by aminoacyl-tRNA synthetases). tRNAs cope with the degeneracy of the genetic code in two manners: having more than one tRNA (with a specific anti-codon) for a particular amino acid; and 'wobble' base-pairing, i.e. permitting non-standard base-pairing at the 3rd anti-codon position. Lineage: Eukaryota; Fungi; Ascomycota; Eurotiomycetes; Chaetothyriales; Herpotrichiellaceae. The record is from Rfam.
GCUUCGAUAGCUCAGUGGUAGAGCGAGAGAUUGCAGUUGCAAAGCUUACAACGCUCAAAAAUAAGCUACAACACUACAAAUAUCUCUAGGUCACGUGUUCGAACCACGUUCGGAGCU